CCAUUUGCAUCUUGUUUAGUUUUGAGAGGUCUUGUGGGGCCUUAGCUCAGCUGGGAGAGCGCCUGCUUUGCACGCAGGAGGUCAGCGGUUCGAUCCCGCUAGGCUCCAUUGAAUCGAAAGGUUCAAAUUGUUCAUUGAAAAUUGAAUAUCUAUAUCAAAUUCCACGAUCUAGAAAUAGAUUGUAGAAAGUAACAAGAAAAUAAACCGAAAACGCUGUGAAUAUUUAAUGAGUUUUCUAGUUUUAAAGA
This 248-nucleotide transfer RNA is filed under the name Streptococcus agalactiae. Its description in RNAcentral is "partial 16S-23S ribosomal RNA intergenic spacer". The stretch from base 36 to 108 matches the Rfam family "tRNA". The record is from RNAcentral. Lineage: Bacteria; Bacillati; Bacillota; Bacilli; Lactobacillales; Streptococcaceae.